GGCCAAAUGCACAUAGGCUUAAAACACAAUACAAUUACAUAAAUUAUCCACUUAAAGUCAUGAUUUAGGAGCCUUAACAGUGUCAAGCAUACAGUAAAUCAAGAAACACAACAGUCUCCAUAAGUCCAAACUGUUCUAUGCAAAUCCAAAAUAACAAACAUGAAGCAAGGGCACUUUAAUCGUCGUUAACAUCAAGAAGCGAUGCUACACAAAUGAAAUACAACAACACUUUUAUCGCCAGGUUGCGAUCUAGAAACUAAGGAAGGGACAUUGCUUUCGAGCAUGUUCUGGUAUCAGUUUCGACAAGUUCUCCAAAGUUGCUCCUUUCAGCUCUUGAGGUUCGAAGUUGAAGAGUGGAGGCAAGGGCCGUCCAUUAGGGAGGUGGGCAUUUGGCUCACGAAGUUCAUUAAAAAAUGGGUGGAGAAGAGCCUCUAAAGCAGUAAAUCUUAAAUUUGGUGAGUACUGGAGAAGCCUAGAGACAAGAUCUACUGCUUCAGGUGGCAUGCGCUUGUGAAAUAUUUUGUGCCACGGGUGAGCCUUGAUUUGUGGGAAUUUAAACUCUGUAUAGUUCGGAUUCAUGCAUUUGAUUUCCUCACGAGUUGGGGUGCCAAGUACCUUGAUAAUCUCAACAAGCUGAUCAACUCCACUCUCUCCAGGAAAAAGUGGCUGCCCUAGAAGCAAUUCGGCGAGGACGCAACCCACAGACCAUAUGUCAAUUGCAGUUGUGUACUCAGUAGCACCAAAAAUGAGCUCCGGAGCCCGAUAGUAACGAGAGCAAAUAUAUGAUAUGUUUGGCUCGCCCUUGACCAGAACUUUUGCACUUCCAAAAUCACAUAGCUUGACCUGAUGAGUAUGAGGGUUAACCAGAAGAUUUUGUGGCUUAAUGUCCCUGUGGCACACUCCCACACCUCCAUGAAUAUAUGCCAGAGCCCUACAAAUCUGAUAGGUAUAGAGUUUGACAUAAAUAAGAGGCAUUCGCUGAUUUGCUCUGCUGUAGUGCUUUGCUACACGGUAAACAGUCUCAGGAACGUAUUCAAGCACCAAAUUGAGAUAAAGCUCAUCCUUAUCAGUUGUUGAAAAAAAACAAUGUUUCAGAGAAACAACAUUGGGGUGAUCAAGAAGGCGCAUUGUCUGCAACUCACGGUUCUUAUAUCUCUUAUCCUGCAAAACCUUCUUGAUUGCAACAGUUUCUCCACUUUCUAGGCACUUGGCCUGAAAUACAAUUCCAAACGAGCCCUGCCCGACUACACGUUCUGCCAUGUAACUUAUAGUCUGUUUGGGUUGGCCAUUUCGACCACCAAUAGUUGUUACAAUGAUAUGGCCUGUUUCAGUUCCAUUUCCAUCAACGACGGUAGCUUCCAUUUCCUUUUCCACCUUCUCGUCCCUAAUCUUCAUUUCAUUGAUUUCCUCUGGGAGUUUAUGAACCAACAUUGCCGCAGCACUAGGUUUUCCGACUGCCGAAGCAGGUACUGUUCCCUCAGAGGCCAUGAAUUCCUUCAACAAAAUAUAUUUUCCAGUGGAGUUGCAGAAAACUUCUCACAUUUUGCACGAAAAGAGAUGAAGAAAGAGAGAAACCCUAGGAAAUUUCAUUUUCUUGUAAACCAAACAAACAAAGGAAAAUGGGAGUCUUCACACUUUCAGGGACGCUUCCUCAUGGGCUUGAGUUUGACUACAGUCUACAGAAAGACCUCUCUCGGACAGGAGCAACUAUCUUUGGAUACUUUUGUUCUUUUGUCCCUCUGAUUCUG
Molecule: unclassified non-coding RNA, 1748 nt
Filed under: Hevea brasiliensis (rubber tree)
Lineage: Eukaryota; Viridiplantae; Streptophyta; Magnoliopsida; Malpighiales; Euphorbiaceae
Source: RNAcentral